CCUACGGGGGGCAGCAGUGAGGAAUAUUGGUCAAUGGCCGUAAGGCUGAACCAGCCAAGUAGCGUGAGGGAAGACUGCCCUAUGGGUUGUUAACCUCUUUUAUGCGGGGAUAAAGGUGUCCACGUGUGGAUGUUUGCAGGUACCGCAUGAAUAAGGACCGGCUAAUUCCGUGCCAGCAGCCGCGGUAAUACGGAGGGUCCGGGCGUUAUCCGGAUUUAUUGGGUUUAAAGGGAGCGUAGGCCGGUCUUUAAGCGUGCCGGGAAAUGUUGGGGCUCAACCAGGGGAGGGCGGUGCGAACUGGAGACCUUGAGUGCGCGGAAGGCAGGCGGAAUUCGUGGUGUAGCGGUGAAAGGCUUAGAUAUCACGAAGAACCCCGAUUGCGAAGGCAGCCUGCCGCAGCGUUACUGACGCUGAGGCACUAAAGCGCGGGUAUCGAACAGGAUUAGAUACCCUUGUAGUC
RNAcentral lists this ribosomal RNA (460 nucleotides) under uncultured bacterium. RNAcentral's name for it is "partial 16S ribosomal RNA". It matches the Rfam family "Bacterial small subunit ribosomal RNA", at positions 338 to 795 of the family's 1533-position model. The record is from RNAcentral.